Mytilus californianus (California mussel) is the source of this 632-nucleotide long non-coding RNA. RefSeq lists it as uncharacterized. The record is from RefSeq and is a predicted model, not a curated record. The transcript has 8 exons. Lineage: Eukaryota; Metazoa; Mollusca; Bivalvia; Mytilida; Mytilidae.
ACUAGAUACCCGUAUGUAGAAAUGACUGACUUGUCGACAAUCGGUAAUGUUUAUAAAGGAAACGAAAAUGGAAACUCUUUUUAACCAAGAGGACUAUUUUUAAAGUUUGAAGAUCUAUUUGUAUUCAUCUAUUCAAGUCCAGUCAAUUUAUUACUAUAGACCCUUGUCCAGUCAAUGUGACCCUCGUCCAGUCAUUAUCCUUGUCCAGUCAAGUUUUUAUCAUAGACCCUUGUCCAGUCAAUGUGAUCCUCGUCCAGUCAACGUGACCCUCGUCCAGUCAUUAUCCUUGUCUAGUCAAGUUUUAAUUAUAGAUUCACUCAGGAAAGUUCAUUUGGUAACAUUUGGUCAAGCAAUUUCAGAGAAGAUUUACGGACGCCAAGUCAAUAGCUCACACGGCCCCUUGAUACAGAUUGAACAUCUGUUAUUUGUAUUUCAUCCUUGUCCAGUCAAUUAGAUAAUUGUCCAGUCAAUGUAAACCUUGUCCAGUCAAUGUGAACAUUGUCCAGUCUAGUUGCUAUUAUAGGAUAUAAUGGAAAAUUGGAAUGAGAAACUUCUUGCAGAUGCUGAGAAUGGAGAUAUAGAAGCUUUAAAACUAAGCCUAGUGAAUAAAGCAGACAUUGAUUAUCAAGAUG